GUUUGAAAUGCAAGAUGGCGGCGGCGGGGCUUUGAGAGGCGCGGCGGCCCCUGCAGGAGAAGACUGCUAACUACUUUGGACCUGUUGGUAAUGAUGGCCUGAGCUGUACACCUAAUUUGAAGGGUUACUUCCCCCCUUCCAUCUCAACAGAAUGCUGAGGAAGCAAUGGCAAGUGACUGGAGUUGUGCUUCAAAAAUUUCAGCAGUUCAGCAGUAUUUUAUCUGUCAACAAUAAGCUCUUUACUUGAUUGCACCAUGGAAAAGCUGCUAAUGAGACUUGUUGAGCACAAAAGUGGACUUGAAGAACCAGAAGCCAUUGUUUUCAAAUGAAGAAUCCUGAACAGUUUUCAGCCUCAAUGCUUUGAAACCACCACUG
This 375-nucleotide long non-coding RNA is filed under the name Castor canadensis (American beaver). RNAcentral's name for it is "lncRNA (ENSCCNG00000020707.1)". Lineage: Eukaryota; Metazoa; Chordata; Mammalia; Rodentia; Castoridae. The record is from RNAcentral.